GUACUGCUCCUCUGAUUAACAUCCCCCACCGCACCUCCAAAUGUCAACAGAUGAACACACAACCAGCUGCACGAGGACCACAAAACUGAACAGAGGUUGUUGCUAUUGCCAUCCCCUUUGGGUAUAGCUGUCUUGGCAGUGGAAACUCCUGCCCCAAGGUGUUUUCUUGCUGGAUUAGACAUGUGAUCUGUGGCGGGAGAGCCAGAGAGAGGAGAGAAGAUCCAGUGAGAAUGGGUUCUAAAACUGCACC
This 250-nucleotide long non-coding RNA is filed under the name Homo sapiens (human). RNAcentral's name for it is "HSALNT0059324". Lineage: Eukaryota; Metazoa; Chordata; Mammalia; Primates; Hominidae. The record is from RNAcentral.